CGCGCUCUCUCUAUCUCACCAAAACCCUCUCAAUCGUGCUCUCUCUACUCUCGGUAUUGCUCUCACGAAAUCGCUCUCAUCCACAACAACUCAUACUGAAACAAAAACGGGAAGCUCACCUUGCUCAGCUUAGGGUUUCGAAUUUGGUCCUUGGAUUCAAAAGAGGCGUUCCUGCAAAACACUCUUUUGAUGCUCAGAAUUUGGUCCAUCUCGUUUGAUACUUGGAUCUGGAACAGUGAAUUUCUCUUGUCAGAAAACUCAGUUGGUUUGUGAAUGAGGACUCAAAAGGUCGAUGGUUCUUUGGCUGUAGCAGGUAACCUU
Molecule: long non-coding RNA, 321 nt
Organism: Lathyrus oleraceus (garden pea)
Lineage: Eukaryota; Viridiplantae; Streptophyta; Magnoliopsida; Fabales; Fabaceae
Exons: 3
Source: RefSeq, a predicted model, not a curated record